UACAUGGGGUGCAAACGUUGCUCGGAAUUAUUGGGCGUAAAGCGCACGUAGGCGGUUCGUUAAGUCGGAUGUGAAAGCCCUCGGCUCAACUGAGGAAGUGCACCCGAAACUGGCGAGCUUGAGUACGAAAGAGGAUCGCGGAAUUCCCGGUGUAGAGGUGAAAUUCGUAGAUAUCAGGAGGAACACCGGUGGCGAAGGCGGGUCUCUGGGGCAGUAACUGACGCUGAGGAGCGAAAGCGUGGGGAGCGAACAGG
RNAcentral lists this ribosomal RNA (254 nucleotides) under uncultured bacterium. RNAcentral describes it as "partial 16S ribosomal RNA". It matches the Rfam family "Bacterial small subunit ribosomal RNA", at positions 524 to 776 of the family's 1533-position model. The record is from RNAcentral.